RNAcentral lists this ribosomal RNA (774 nucleotides) under uncultured bacterium. RNAcentral describes it as "bacterial SSU rRNA". It matches the Rfam family "Bacterial small subunit ribosomal RNA", at positions 13 to 776 of the family's 1533-position model. The record is from RNAcentral.
UUGAUCCUGGCUCAGAUUGAACGCUGGCGGCAGGCCUAACACAUGCAAGUCGAACGGUAACAGGAAACAGCUUGCUGUUUCGCUGACGAGUGGCGGACGGGUGAGUAAUGUCUGGGAAACUGCCUGAUGGAGGGGGAUAACUACUGGAAACGGUAGCUAAUACCGCAUAACGUCGCAAGACCAAAGAGGGGGACCCUCGGGCCUCUUGCCAUCGGAUGUGCCCAGAUGGGAUUAGCUUGUUGGUGGGGUAACGGCUCACCAAGGCGACGAUCCCUAGCUGGUCUGAGAGGAUGACCAGCCACACUGGAACUGAGACACGGUCCAGACUCCUACGGGAGGCAGCAGUGGGGAAUAUUGCACAAUGGGCGCAAGCCUGAUGCAGCCAUGCCGCGUGUAUGAAGAAGGCCUUCGGGUUGUAAAGUACUUUCAGCGGGGAGGAAGGGAGUAAAGUUAAUACCUUUGCUCAUUGACGUUACCCGCAGAAGAAGCACCGGCUAACUCCGUGCCAGCAGCCGCGGUAAUACGGAGGGUGCAAGCGUUAAUCGGAAUUACUGGGCGUAAAGCGCACGCAGGCGGUUUGUUAAGUCAGAUGUGAAAUCCCCGGGCUCAACCUGGGAACUGCAUCUGAUACUGGCAAGCUUGAGUCUCGUAGAGGGGGGUAGAAUUCCAGGUGUAGCGGUGAAAUGCGUAGAGAUCUGGAGGAAUACCGGUGGCGAANGCGGCCCCCUGGACGAAGACUGACGCUCANGUGCGAAAGCGUGGGGAGCAAACAGG